Molecule: long non-coding RNA, 389 nt
Organism: Helianthus annuus (common sunflower)
Lineage: Eukaryota; Viridiplantae; Streptophyta; Magnoliopsida; Asterales; Asteraceae
Exons: 4
Source: RefSeq, a predicted model, not a curated record
CCCACCGCCGCUACCGUUCCUUCUUCUCUCCUCUUCCCUCGCUCAACCAUUCUUCUUCUCAAUCACUCAUCCAUGGUUCCUGAUCUGAACCACGCUAUUAGCAGAUCUGAACCCCCUUUUGAAGAAACCCUAAAAGUUCCCCACCGCCGCUAACCUUCGUUCUUCUCUCCUCUGCACUCGCUCAACCAUUCUUCUUCUCCAUCACUCAGCCAUGGUUCCGGAUCUUAACGACGCUAUUAACAGGGUUUAUUCUUCCAUUGUUCAUGUCCAUCAUUCAUCCAUGGUUGAAGAUCUUAACCAGGCGAUUAACAUAUCUGAACCAUCCGUUGAUCAUAUUACUGUUUCUUCGAGCUAUUUGCAUCCUUUUCUGUCUCAGGUUUGAUUCUCCC